GUGGUGGUGCAUGGCCGUUCU
RNAcentral lists this non-coding RNA (21 nucleotides) under Arabidopsis thaliana (thale cress). The record is from RNAcentral. RNAcentral also lists the same sequence under 1 other name. Lineage: Eukaryota; Viridiplantae; Streptophyta; Magnoliopsida; Brassicales; Brassicaceae.